Molecule: ribosomal RNA, 850 nt
Filed under: uncultured bacterium
Lineage: Bacteria
Description: bacterial SSU rRNA
Rfam family: Bacterial small subunit ribosomal RNA
Source: RNAcentral
UGAUAGGCAUGCAGUCGACGAAUCCCGGGGUAGCAAUACCUCGGGGGAAGUGGCGAAAGGGGCAGUAAUGCGUGGAUAACCUACCCUGGGGAUGGGCAUAGCCGGCCUAACGGCCGGGUAAUACCCAGCGAUUCGGUGAGGGGGCAUCUCCUUAUCGGGAAAUGAGUUUCGCCUCGGGAGGGGUCCACGUGCUAUCAGCUAGUUGGUGGGGUAACGGCCCACCAAGGCUUAGACGGCUAGCGGGUGUGAGAGCACGACCCGCGCCACUGGCACUGAGACACUGGCCAGACACCUACGGGUGGCUGCAGUCGAGGAUCUUCGUCAAUGGGCGCAAGCCUGAACGAGCGAUGCCGCGUGAGCGAUGAAGGCCUUCGGGUUGUAAAGCUCAAAAGGGGUGAGAAAGGGAAACUUGAUCGAACCCCAGUAAGCUCGGGCUAAGUUCGUGCCAGCAGCCGCGGUAAGACGAACCGAGCGAACGUUGUUCGGAAUCACUGGGCUUAAAGGGCGCGUAGGCGGGUGCUCAAGUCUGUGGUGAAAUCCUCCGGCUCAACCGGAGAACUGCCUCGGAUACUGGGUGCCUCGAGGGUGGUAGGGGUAUGCGGAACUAUCGGUGGAGCGGUGAAAUGCGUUGAUAUCGAUAGGAACUCCGGUGGCGAAGGCGGCAUACUGGACCACAUCUGACGCUGAGGCGCGAAAGCCAGGGGAGCAAACGGGAUUAGAUACCCCGGUAGUCCUGGCCCUAAACGAUGGGUACUAGCUAGUAGGGUUCACAUGGCUUUACUGGCGAAGCAAAAGUGCUAAGUACCCCGCCUGGGGAGUAUGGUCGCAAGGCUUGAAACUCAAAAGGAAU